RNAcentral lists this ribosomal RNA (320 nucleotides) under uncultured Prevotella sp. Its description in RNAcentral is "partial 16S ribosomal RNA". The record is from RNAcentral. Lineage: Bacteria; Pseudomonadati; Bacteroidota; Bacteroidia; Bacteroidales; Prevotellaceae.
GGAGUCUGGUCCGUGUCUCAGUACCAGUGUGGGGGACCUUCCUCUCAGAACCCCUACUGAUCGUCGCCUUGGUGGGCCGUUACCCCGCCAACAAGCUAAUCAGACGCAUCCCCAUCCCUUAGCGAUAAAUCUUUGUUCCCAAUCAAAUGCUCUCAAAGGAAUACAUAGGGUAUUAAUCCGACUUUCGCCGGGCUAUGCCCUACUAAGGGGAAGGUUGGAUACGCGUUACUCACCCGUGCGCCGGUCGCCGACAAAGAAAGCAAGCUUCCUUCUCGCUGCCCCUCGACUUGCAUGUGUUAAGCCUGUAGCCAGCGUUCAUC